This is a long non-coding RNA of Amphiprion ocellaris (clown anemonefish), 810 nucleotides long. RefSeq lists it as uncharacterized. The record is from RefSeq and is a predicted model, not a curated record. Lineage: Eukaryota; Metazoa; Chordata; Actinopteri; Pomacentridae. The transcript is spliced from 4 exons.
CGGAAACAAGAAGUAUGCUGGCUCACUGUGCUGCAUACAGUUACACACUACGUCGUACGAUUGAGACAAGGAAACUUGGAAUGACUUUUCAUAGGUUUCCCAGAGACUAUGGGUUGAGGAGGAAUUGGAAGUUUGUCGGCUUAGACCUGGUGUCAUUCCAUCAGUGUUAAACUUCCCGGCUCAUCUUGGAAGAGUAUGUGCCAGAAAGACCACAACCAAGCAGCCUUGAGAUCUUAGGCAGCGUCUCCCUCAGUUCAAAGGUCCCUCUCUAUCUCCCCACACAUCCACCAACCACUGGAACACAUCUCCAAAGUUCUGCUGGACCAGCUCAGCUUCCCCUCAGAAGAAGUGCUGCCACCUGCCAGAUGAAGGAGCCUUUUGAGAGGCAGCUGGCAUCGUGAUUGGACUGUACUUUGGUCUGUUCCAGUCCAGCUUCAGCUCCAGAGACGGCAGGCGGGACGAGUCAACGGAGGCCUGGUGGACGAAGGCAUGAAGCUGAGUACAAUCCAGAAAACAACAGAGGAGGAGUGCAGCUGCCCAGAGCCAGAACAAACAGAGUAGCAUGACCAAAGAACUACAGACUCUUCACAACCUGCUCAAACUCUUGGUACAGGACCUCACCACACGGGUCAAGAAGGUUUCUGUCUCAUUUCUACUCUGAAGCUCACCUUCUCCUGCUCAAACUGCUGACAAAUGUUUCUGCUGCUCUAAAGUCUGGUCUCCAGAACUUCCUAAAAACUCUCAAAGUCUCUUCUGCUGCAGGUUGCUUUGUAGAACUGUUCCAGAAAACCUCACUAAACCACAUGGAGG